This is a long non-coding RNA of Cyprinus carpio (common carp), 286 nucleotides long. Lineage: Eukaryota; Metazoa; Chordata; Actinopteri; Cypriniformes; Cyprinidae. The record is from Ensembl.
UGAUCUCAGAGCUGCACUGAGGAUUCCCUAUUUUCAGCUCAUCACAAGAAAAUUUAAAAUAUUUAAGAGCAAUUCAUUCAUGGCAGAAGAUCUGUGGAGCAUCACAAACUGCAGGAGAAUUAAACACAUAGGAAAAAUGGCAAACAAAGAGGACGAGAGACAAUCUAAUGAAUCAAGAGAGAAAAAGACCCUGAAACGAAUUAGACAGAACAGCAUUAAUAGUGGAAAACCAAACUUUUCUGAUGAUCCAGACAGUUUCAUUCUGAGUGACUCACAGACGAGGUGA